ACUGCAGUGCACCUUCAUAUAAUACUUCAAAUCAAAUGUUACCCUGUCCACUUCAGUUAAUACUCUGGUGCCUUUUCUUCCCGUUGUUCUCCACAGGUCUUUACCGGUUCUGGAAAUCGUCUAGAUGGGAAGAAGAAAGGCAUUGAACCCAGUCCAGCACGACUUGAUCCCAGUGACAUUAAACGGUGGCCAGCAGCCCGGCUUCCUUCGGGUUCCAGGACACACAGUUGACGUCCUGACCGUGGGCUUUGGGCACAUGGGCUGACAUGAAGAAGACGGGCUGCUCUGAGUCAGCAGUGUGGUCUUCUCUGAACACACGGACUCCGUCAU
This is a long non-coding RNA of Carassius gibelio (silver crucian carp), 330 nucleotides long. RefSeq lists it as uncharacterized. NCBI's taxonomy places the organism in Eukaryota, Metazoa, Chordata, Actinopteri, Cypriniformes, Cyprinidae. The transcript has 2 exons. The record is from RefSeq and is a predicted model, not a curated record.